UGCUGGAUGCUUCAUGCCCUCAAUCACUGGACUUCAAGUUCUUCAGCUUUUGGACUCCUGGACUUACACCAGUGGUUUGCCAGGGGCUCUCGGGCCUUCACCACAGACUGAAGACUGCACUCUCAGCUUCCCCUCUUUUGAGGUUUGGGGACUCCGACUGGCUUCCCUGCUCCUCAGCUUGCACACGGCCUAUUGUGGGACUUCACUUUGUGAUUGUAGGUGGAGUCCCCCUACGUUGCCCAGACUGGUCUUGAACUCCAGGACUCAAGGGAUCCUCCCGCUAUGGCCUCCCAAAGUGUUGGGAUUACAGUUCUGGUGGCUGGAAUUUCAAGAUCAGAGUGCCAGCAGGUGCAGGUUCUAG
This 361-nucleotide long non-coding RNA is filed under the name Papio anubis (olive baboon). RNAcentral describes it as "lncRNA (ENSPANG00000043922.1)". The record is from RNAcentral. Lineage: Eukaryota; Metazoa; Chordata; Mammalia; Primates; Cercopithecidae.